UCCGAGUUGACCCCGGCAGUCUCCUAUGAGUCCCCGCCAUCACGCGCUGGCAACAUAGAACGAGGGUUGCGCUCGUUGCGGGACUUAACCCAACACCUCACGGCACGAGCUGACGACAACCAUGCAGCAUCUGUGGCGGCUCCCCGAAGGGUCCCCCAACCUUUCGGCCGGGGUACCACCGUCAUGUCAAGUCUUGGUAAGGCUCUUCGCUUUGCAUCGAAUUAAACCACACGCUCCGCUGCUUGUGCGGGCCCCCGUCAAUUCCUUUGAGUUUCAGCCUUGCGGCCGUACUCCCCAGGCGGGGUGCUUAACGCGUUAGCUGCGACACUGACGGGGUCGCUCCCCCCAGCAUCUAGCACCCAUCGUUUACGGCGUGGACUAC
This 382-nucleotide unclassified non-coding RNA is filed under the name uncultured bacterium. RNAcentral's name for it is "contains 16S-23S intergenic spacer region". The record is from RNAcentral.